UUCCUUUAAUGCAUCCAAAGCUCGAAUUGGAUCGGAUCAUUACGCAGGCUCCCUUUCCGUGUUUUCAGCCGUCAUUUGUUAUGGACAGUGGAAAGGGAGGACAGCGCCCUAGCGCCCUCUAUUGACCACUGCUGGCUUGGGGGUAUUCCAAAAAGCUGGUUAUGUGACCCAGUUUGAUUGACGUGAGGUGUGCUGUCAUGGAUCUACAUGUAACCAAGCAGUACAAACACUUUCAAAGUUGUUUGUCUGAAAAGUGUCAACAUAUUUGUUACAUGCCCUUAAUUUGUUCACUGGAGACAACAGACAGGUAUUCCCAUUGGUAUGCUAAUAGGACACCAAACAUGGGAAGAUUGCCACAGAGGAAUUCAGUGACAAUGCCAAUUAAUGCAUAUACUGACACCCAUAAACACACUGAACAACUCUUGAGACUUGAUGUCACACCCUGUGUCACAUUAACAUUAAUUCUUGUUGUUACAAACUUUAAGUGUUAUUUAUUAUUUGUUCAAUACUCAUCUAUUGGGUUAAUAUUAUAUACAGAGUCACAUUUUAUUUUUUAAUCUGUUUUAAGAUACAUACAUUUUAUUAAUGUUAAUCUGAAACCAGUAGUUCAAAGCAUCAUGUAGGCUACAAAUUUAUUGCAUGAAUAAACCAUAUAGAGUCUCAGUGGUGCCAAAGUCCUAAUAGACUAAUAAUUGAAUAAUAGGUUUUGCCUUUAAUGGCCCUGUUGGGAACAGACUAAACAAAAAACAAUUUUGCUAAUUUAGUGUUUAUUAUCGUCAAUUAACAUAUUCAAUUUU
This is a non-coding RNA of Misgurnus anguillicaudatus (oriental weatherfish), 797 nucleotides long. The record is from RefSeq and is a predicted model, not a curated record. NCBI's taxonomy places the organism in Eukaryota, Metazoa, Chordata, Actinopteri, Cypriniformes, Cobitidae.